GAUGAAGAACGCAGCGAAAUGCGAUACUUGGUGUGAAUUGCAGAAUCCCGUGAACCAUCGAGUCUUUGAACGCAAGUUGCGCCUCAAGCCAUUAGGUUGAGGGCACGUCUGCCUGGGCGUCACAUAUCGUUGCCUGAUGCCAGUUUCCUCGUGAUGGGUGACUGUGCAGGGCGAAUGAUGGCUUCCCGUGAGCAUUGUUGCCUCAUGGUUGGUUGAAAAUUGAGUCCUUGGUAGGGAGCGCCGUGAUAGAUGGUGGUUGAGUGACGAACGAGACCCAAUCAUGUGAGACCCCUACCGAAUUUGGCCUUCAUGACCCACAUGCGUCUUUGGAACGCUCAUGACGAGACCUCAGGUCAGGCGGGGCUACCCGCUGAGUUUAAGCAUGUCAAUAAGCGGAGGA
RNAcentral lists this unclassified non-coding RNA (400 nucleotides) under soil metagenome. RNAcentral's name for it is "partial contains 5.8S ribosomal RNA, internal transcribed spacer 2, and large subunit ribosomal RNA". The stretch from base 1 to 122 matches the Rfam family "5.8S ribosomal RNA", at positions 35 to 154 of the family's 154-position model. The record is from RNAcentral.